RNAcentral lists this ribosomal RNA (449 nucleotides) under uncultured bacterium. RNAcentral's name for it is "bacterial SSU rRNA". It matches the Rfam family "Bacterial small subunit ribosomal RNA", at positions 355 to 796 of the family's 1533-position model. The record is from RNAcentral.
UGGGGAAUAUUGGACAAUGGGCGCAAGCCUGAUCCAGCAAUGCCGCGUGUGUGAAGAAGGCCUUCGGGUUGUAAAGCACUUUCAGUGGGGAAGAAAAGCUUAUGGCUAAUAACUAUAAGUUUUGACGUUACCUACAGAAGAAGCACUGGCUAACUCUGUGCCAGCAGCCGCGGUAAUACAGAGAGUGCAAGCGUUAAUCGGAAUUACUGGGCGUAAAGCGCGCGUAGGUGGAUAAAUAAGUCGAAUGUGAAAGCCCUGGGCUUAACCUAGGAAUUGCAUCCGAUACUGCUUAUCUAGAGUAUGGUAGAGGGAAGUGGAAUUUCCGGUGUAGCGGUGAAAUGCGUAGAUAUCGGAAGGAACACCAGUGGCGAAGGCGGCUUCCUGGACUAAUACUGACACUGAGGUGCGAAAGCGUGGGGAGCAAACAGGAUUAGAUACCCCCGUAGUCC